Molecule: long non-coding RNA, 2519 nt
Filed under: Salmo salar (Atlantic salmon)
Lineage: Eukaryota; Metazoa; Chordata; Actinopteri; Salmoniformes; Salmonidae
Description: lncRNA (ENSSSAG00000111238.1)
Source: RNAcentral
CCAGUCUUUACAAAGUGGUUUGAGCCUCCUACCAUCAAAAUUGACUGAAAGAGAGGAUGUUUACCUUUGUCACAGGGGAUGGGCCAUUACCAUUGUGACGUCGGCGCCCAUGGGUACUCUCCCUUUUCGAAACGUUUUGAAAGACAAUGCAACCGUCCCAAUGGAAUAUUAUUGAAGCCCUGGUUGAAAAAGCCCCUAAAGAUUUAUGUUAUACAACGUUUGACAUGUUUGAACGAACUUAAAUAUAUUUUUUUUGCUCAUUCCUGACGACAAGUCAGACACACACGGUACAUUUUCACUAGCCUUCGGAGCGCGCUAACACUAUUGGGACAUAAAUUAUUUGUUAUGGACCUGGGAUUCCUAGAAGUGCCUUCUGAUAAAGAUAAUCAAAGGAGUGUCAUCUGAUGAAGGUUGUCAAAGGACCUGCUCCCUAGGACCAUGUCUCAGGACUACUUGGCCUGAUGACUCCUUGCUGUCCCCAGUCCACCUGACCGUGCUGUUGCUCCAGUUCUGUUCUUCCUGUGGCUAUGGAACCCUGACCUGUUCACCGGAUGUGCUACCUGUACCAGACCUGCUGUUUUCAACUCUCUAGAGACAGCAGGAGCGAUAGAGAUACUCUGAAUGAUUGGCUAUGAAAAGCCAACUGACAUUUACUCCUGAGGUGCUGACCUGUUGCACCCUCGACAACCACUGUGAUUAUUAUUAUUUGACCCUGCUGGUCAUCUAUGAACAUUUGAACAUCUUGGCCAUGUUCUGUUAUAAUUUCCACUCGGCACAGCCAGAAGAGAACUGGCCACCCCUCAUAGCCUGGUUCCUCUCUAGGUUUCUUCCUAGGUUCUGGCCUUUCUAGGGAGCUUUUCCUAGCCACCGUGCUUCUACACCUGCAUUGCUUGCUGUUUGGGGUUUUAGGCUGGGUUUCUGUAUAGCACUUUGUGACAUCAGCUGAUGUAAAAGGGGCUUUAUAUAUAAAUGUGAUUGAUUGUAGCACAGAGAAUUUUCGACCAACCUUAGUUUGGCGAUACUGUCUUCGUCCUCGAUUCAGGAGUCUCAUGAAAUGUUUAUGUCCAGUUACAGGGGGCCCGUUUGAAUUUCGAAAACGCUCAGUUAUUAAAAGAAAAUACUUUUUUGCUCAACCGUGAAUUAAUCCGAAAAUGUGUACGCCGCCAUCUUGUCUAUUUCAACUCUUCUCUCAUUGAUCGAGAUAUGUGGGUGUCCACCACAAAGGGCCGGUGGCAGCGUACACAUUGUUGGAUUACUUCAUGAAGCAAAUAUUUUUAUUUUUAACUGAUCCCCUGCAACUGGACAUGGACAUUUUAUGAGACUCCUGUUUCCCAUGAAUUGAGGACGAAGACAUCAUUGCCAAGCUAAGGUUGGUCAAAAAUUAUCUGCUGCACCAAACAGUAUCUAACGAAAAAUAUUUAGUUAAAUCACAUUAUCUGGUGUAACAGUCUGUAGCUAAGAGAACUGGUGCUCAACAGAUGAUGGGAGAGGUGGUCAUGAUGAAAUUGCCAUUCACAAAGAAACAUACAGUAAGAAAAUACAGUAUGAUCAGUGUAGUAAAAUUCAGGGAAUACUUGUACAGCUGUGUGACUUAGCAGCCGCUGCUGUGUUGUAUGUCUGAGGUGUAAAUUGCAGACAUCUGUUGAUCAGCAAAUGAUGGGAGGGAGGUAGUCACGAUCAAACUGCCAUUCAGCUCCACCUGAGUCAUCUUCUCCUUGAAAUCCAGCAUAAUGUCCAAUCAAUCAAGAGGGAUACGGUUCUGCUACAAUAACACACGCAGGCAAUUAUGUAUGUUUCUCUCUAUCUAGAAUCCACUACAGGAAGAAGCCCAGGCACCACACGGUAUUGUUUGUAAGACAAAAACAGAUACAAAAUAAUACUCUAUUGUCGUGACUUGACUUUAACAUUAACCUGAAGACUGUCAUUUAUCUAAUUAACGCUUUCACACAUACCAUCACAUGGGUGUGAUCGUUCUACAGUGGUCCCUGAAGCGUACGACCACACCGUGUGAUUAGAACGCUUAUUUAGAACGCUUAUUUAGCAGGGCCAGUUUCGAAUGACCAAACAAUCAGCAUUUGAGAUGGCCACAUUAUUUUCAGAAACUAUUUACACAAACACAGUCCUUACAACGUAAUGUCCAGAAUGUGAGCAGUUUUUUGGGGAUGCGAUGUUCAGAUAUUCACAGAAGUAUCUAUAGCAUAACACAAUCAUCCAAACCAGAAAAAUGUAGGCUACAUUUAUCCUAGCGCUAACUGAGGAAAGAUUGACGUAACACAAGCAGUCAUCUUUUACAACUCUCGGCUGACUUAACCUGUUAGGGCUAGGGGGCAGUAUUUGCACGGCUGGAUAAAAAAAAUGUACCCGAUUUAAUCUGGUUACUAAUCCUACCCAGUAACUAGAAUAUGCAUAUACUUAUUAUAUAUGGAUAGAAAACACUCUAAAGUUUCUAAAACUGUUUGAAUGGUGUCUGUGAGUAUAACAGAACUCAUUUGGCAGGCAAAACCCUGAGACAUUUUCUG